This 366-nucleotide long non-coding RNA is filed under the name Androctonus crassicauda. Lineage: Eukaryota; Metazoa; Arthropoda; Arachnida; Scorpiones; Buthidae. The record is from RNAcentral.
GUUUUUUUAAAAAAUGAUGACUUUUAAAAAACAAGGAGAAGAAAAAGAAACCACUAAUUUUUUUCUUUUGAAAAAAGUGGCAACACUGUUCUAUUUUGCGAUUUUAUUUGUGCACGUAUGCGCACUCUUUUGAUAAAGGGCAGUAACCAGUAUUAGGGCCUAUCUAAAACCUUUUGUUGUUGGUUUUUUUUUCCCUCAAGGCAGUCUCUAAAGCUGUGUGAAAUUUUCUCUGCAUCUCUGUACAGAGAAUAAACCUCCCUCUUGUGUCUCUUUUCUCCCCCUCCCUUCCCCCAUCCAGUGGUACUUCUACUAAAUUGUCUUGUUUUUUUAUUUUUUAAAUAAACUGACAAAUGACAAAGUGGUGAG